AGCUAACGCAUUAAAUAGACCGCCUGGGGAGUACGGCCGCAAGGUUAAAACUCAAAUGAAUUGACGGGGGCCCGCACAAGCGGUGGAGCAUGUGGUUUAAUUCGAUGCAACGCGAAGAACCUUACCAUCCCUUGACAUCCAGAGAAUCACCAAGAGAUUGAUGAGUGCCUUCGGGAACUCUGAGACAGGUGCUGCAUGGCUGUCGUCAGCUCGUGUUGUGAAAUGUUGGGUUAAGUCCCGCAACGAGCGCAACCCUUAUCCUUACUUGCCAGCGGGUCAUGCCGGGAACUUUAGGGAGACUGCCGGUGAUAAACCGGAGGAAGGUGGGGACGACGUCAAGUCAUCAUGGCCCUUACGGGAUGGGCUACACACGUGCUACAAUGGCAGAUACAAAGGGUUGCUAACCUGCGAGGGUAUGCGAAUCUCAUAAAGUCUGUCGUAGUCCGGAUCGGAGUCUGCAACUCGACUCCGUGAAGUUGGAAUCGCUAGUAAUCGUGGAUCAGAAUGCCACGGUGAAUACGUUCCCGGGCCUUGUACACACCGCCCGUCGCACCAUGGGAGUGGGCUGCACCAGAAGUCAUUAGCUUAACCUUUCGGGGAUGGCGAUGACCACGGUGUGGUUCAUGACUGGGGUGAAGUCGUAACAAGGUAGCCG
RNAcentral lists this ribosomal RNA (655 nucleotides) under uncultured bacterium. RNAcentral describes it as "bacterial SSU rRNA". It matches the Rfam family "Bacterial small subunit ribosomal RNA", at positions 850 to 1502 of the family's 1533-position model. The record is from RNAcentral.